This 1253-nucleotide ribosomal RNA is filed under the name metagenome. Its description in RNAcentral is "bacterial SSU rRNA". It matches the Rfam family "Bacterial small subunit ribosomal RNA", at positions 8 to 1266 of the family's 1533-position model. The record is from RNAcentral.
AGAGUUUGAUCCUGGCUCAGGAUGAACGCUAGCGGCAGGCUUAACACAUGCAAGUCGAGGGGUAUAAGUAGCUUGCUAUUUAGAGACCGGCGCACGGGUGCGUAACGCGUAUGCAAUCUGCCUUUCACAAAGGGAUAGCCCAGAGAAAUUUGGAUUAAUACCUUAUAGUAUAUAGGAGUGGCAUCACUUUUAUAUUAAAGAUUUAUCGGUGAAAGAUGAGCAUGCGUCCCAUUAGCUAGAUGGUAAGGUAACGGCUUACCAUGGCAACGAUGGGUAGGGGUCCUGAGAGGGAGAUCCCCCACACUGGUACUGAGACACGGACCAGACUCCUACGGGAGGCAGCAGUGAGGAAUAUUGGACAAUGGGCGCAAGCCUGAUCCAGCCAUGCCGCGUGCAGGAUGAAGCAUCUAUGGUGUGUAAACUGCUUUUAUACGGGAAGAAACCCCGCCUCGUGAGGCGGAUUGACGGUACCGUAAGAAUAAGGACCGGCUAACUCCGUGCCAGCAGCCGCGGUAAUACGGAGGGUCCAAGCGUUAUCCGGAAUCAUUGGGUUUAAAGGGUCCGUAGGCGGGCCAGUAAGUCAGUGGUGAAAUCUCCCCGCUCAACGGGGAAACGGCCAUUGAUACUGCUGGUCUUGAAUUAUUAGGAAGUAACUAGAAUAUGUAGUGUAGCGGUGAAAUGCUUAGAGAUUACAUGGAAUACCAAUUGCGAAGGCAGGUUACUACUAAUGGAUUGACGCUGAUGGACGAAAGCGUGGGUAGCGAACAGGAUUAGAUACCCUGGUAGUCCACGCCGUAAACGAUGGAUACUAGCUGUUCGGUCGCAAGACUGAGUGGCUAAGCGAAAGUGAUAAGUAUCCCACCUGGGGAGUACGUUCGCAAGAAUGAAACUCAAAGGAAUUGACGGGGGCCCGCACAAGCGGUGGAGCAUGUGGUUUAAUUCGAUGAUACGCGAGGAACCUUACCAAGGCUUAAAUGUAGAUUGACAGGACUGGAAACAGUUUUUUCUUCGGACAAUUUACAAGGUGCUGCAUGGUUGUCGUCAGCUCGUGCCGUGAGGUGUCAGGUUAAGUCCUAUAACGAGCGCAACCCCUGUUGUUAGUUGCCAGCGAGUCAUGUCGGGAACUCUAACAAGACUGCCAGUGCAAACUGUGAGGAAGGUGGGGAUGACGUCAAAUCAUCACGGCCCUUACGCCUUGGGCUACACACGUGCUACAAUGGCCGGUACAGAGAGCAGCCACUGGGCGACCAGGA